UACAGAGGUGGCAAGCGUUGUUCGGAAUUACUGGGCGUAAAGGGCGCGUAGGCGGCCUACUAAGUCAGACGUGAAAUCCCCCGGCUUAACCUGGGAACUGCGUCUGAUACUGGAAGGCUUGAGGAUGGGAGAGGGAUGUAGAAUUCCAGGUGUAGCGGUGAAAUGCGUAGAUAUCUGGAGGAAUACCGGUGGCGAAGGCGGCAUCCUGGACCGGCAUUGACGCUGAGGAGCGAAAGCCAGGGGAGCAAACGGG
RNAcentral lists this ribosomal RNA (253 nucleotides) under uncultured bacterium. RNAcentral describes it as "partial 16S ribosomal RNA". It matches the Rfam family "Bacterial small subunit ribosomal RNA", at positions 524 to 776 of the family's 1533-position model. The record is from RNAcentral.